RNAcentral lists this ribosomal RNA (308 nucleotides) under uncultured eukaryote. RNAcentral describes it as "partial 18S ribosomal RNA". It matches the Rfam family "Eukaryotic small subunit ribosomal RNA", at positions 1470 to 1796 of the family's 1831-position model. The record is from RNAcentral.
CCCUUAGACGUUCUGGGCCGCACGCGCGCUACACUGACGAAGGCAACGAGCUUUCCUUUACCGAAAGGUACGGGUAAUCUUUUGAAACUUCGUCGUGCUGGGGAUAGAUCCUUGCAAUUUUUGAUCUUAAACGAGGAAUUCCUAGUAAGCGCAAGUCAUCAACUUGCGUUGAUUACGUCCCUGCCCUUUGUACACACCGCCCGUCGCUACUACCGAUUGAAUGGUUUAGUGAGGCCUUCGGAUCCGCGACUCGUUUUGUGGAGAAGUUGGACAAACUCAGCCAUUUAGAGGAAGUAAAAGUCGUAACA